Molecule: ribosomal RNA, 1343 nt
Filed under: uncultured bacterium
Lineage: Bacteria
Description: 16S ribosomal RNA
Rfam family: Bacterial small subunit ribosomal RNA
Source: RNAcentral
GACGAACGCUGUCGGCGUGCUUAACACAUGCAAGUCGAACGGAAAGGCCCUGCUUUUGUGGGGUGCUCGAGUGGCGAACGGGUGAGUAACACGUGAGUAACCUGCCCUUGACUUUGGGAUAACUUCAGGAAACUGGGGCUAAUACCGGAUAGGAGCUCCUGCUGCAUGGUGGGGGUUGGAAAGUUUCGGCGGUUGGGGAUGGACUCGCGGCUUAUCAGCUUGUUGGUGGGGUAGUGGCUUACCAAGGCUUUGACGGGUAGCCGGCCUGAGAGGGUGACCGGCCACAUUGGGACUGAGAUACGGCCCAGACUCCUACGGGAGGCAGCAGUGGGGAAUAUUGCACAAUGGGCGGAAGCCUGAUGCAGCAACGCCGCGUGCGGGAUGACGGCCUUCGGGUUGUAAACCGCUUUCGCCUGUGACGAAGCGUGAGUGACGGUAAUGGGUAAAGAAGCACCGGCUAACUACGUGCCAGCAGCCGCGGUGAUACGUAGGGUGCGAGCGUUGUCCGGAUUUAUUGGGCGUAAAGGGCUCGUAGGUGGUUGAUCGCGUCGGAAGUGUAAUCUUGGGGCUUAACCCUGAGCGUGCUUUCGAUACGGGUUGACUUGAGGAAGGUAGGGGAGAAUGGAAUUCCUGGUGGAGCGGUGGAAUGCGCAGAUAUCAGGAGGAACACCAGUGGCGAAGGCGGUUCUCUGGGCCUUUCCUGACGCUGAGGAGCGAAAGCGUGGGGAGCGAACAGGCUUAGAUACCCUGGUAGUCCACGCUGUAAACGGUGGGUACUAGGUGUGGGGUCCAUUCCACGGGUUCCGUGCCGUAGCUAACGCUUUAAGUACCCCGCCUGGGGAGUACGGCCGCAAGGCUAAAACUCAAAGGAAUUGACGGGGCCCCGCACAAGCGGCGGAGCAUGCGGAUUAAUUCGAUGCAACGCGUAGAACCUUACCUGGGUUUGACAUGGAUCGGGAGUGCUCAGAGAUGGGUGUGCCUCUUUUGGGGUCGGUUCACAGGUGGUGCAUGGCUGUCGUCAGCUCGUGUCGUGAGAUGUUGGGUUAAGUCCCGCAACGAGCGCAACCCUUGUUCACUGUUGCCAGCACGUUAUGGUGGGGACUCAGUGGAGACCGCCGGGGUCAACUCGGAGGAAGGUGGGGAUGACGUCAAGUCAUCAUGCCCCUUAUGUCCAGGGCUUCACGCAUGCUACAAUGGCUGGUACAGAGAGUGGCGAGCCUGUGAGGGUGAGCGAAUCUCGGAAAGCCGGUCUCAGUUCGGAUUGGGGUCUGCAACUCGACCUCAUGAAGUCGGAGUCGCUAGUAAUCGCAGAUCAGCAACGCUGCGGCGAAUACGUUCCCGGG